Molecule: non-coding RNA, 381 nt
Organism: Jatropha curcas
Lineage: Eukaryota; Viridiplantae; Streptophyta; Magnoliopsida; Malpighiales; Euphorbiaceae
Source: RefSeq, a predicted model, not a curated record
UUGUAAAUUGAAGGUUCUUGAUUGGAAAUGGGCUUAAUCAAAUGCGUAUAAUGUGUAAGUUUAACCAAACACUUAAGGUUUCUUUGAUAAAAUGGCAGCAGCUAUCUUCAAUUAUUUCCAUUGAUUUUUGUUUGACAUGGUACAAUUAAGGUUGUAAAUCUAAUUCUUGCAUGGAACUAGUUAGUUGGUGUGAUCCAUGAUUUUAAGAUAGAAAAACGCUAAUUCUUUUGGCGAAUUGACAGCAAUUACCUUGAUUUUUCUAUGUUGUUUUACAAGGAUAAAUAUAUGUAAAUGAACGUACUUUUAAGAUUCCAUGAUGAUUGAUGUAUAAAUAUUUAUUUAUGAUUUGAGAGACGAAUAAAAUGGGUUCGUUACCUGAAA